This is an RNA transcript of Cucurbita maxima (winter squash), 3721 nucleotides long. It is a transcript of the gene named DExH-box ATP-dependent RNA helicase DExH10, with no coding region annotated. Lineage: Eukaryota; Viridiplantae; Streptophyta; Magnoliopsida; Cucurbitales; Cucurbitaceae. The transcript has 17 exons. The record is from RefSeq and is a predicted model, not a curated record.
AAGUUAGCCAAAUAUCCCAAAAUGUCAAAAACACUUCUGCAGUUUGAACCGUCGCCGGCUAUUCUCUUCCGCCGCCGCUGCUGUUGCUCAGAAUCACUUCAUUUUCGGCCUUCUUCUUCGUUUCAUUCACCUUCUGCUCACACUCGUCACUUCCAAGCAAUCUACUCUCUCUUCUUCACCUUUUUCCCUCGUAUUUGUCUGUUAACAACACUCCUCUUCCCCGUUUCCACUUGCGAUUAAAGGAAAUUGCAGUUGCUCUAAUCGUUUUACAAUGGAAGAAUCUCCCACACUUGGAAAGCGGAAAGAACUUGAAGAAGAAUCAGCUGUCGUAGAAACUGGCAACAACCAAGAAACGAACUCCAAUAAGCGACCUAAAGAAUCGAAAAACCUAGAAGAUGUGAAGGCAACUCCGACUCAGGAAACUGUCUCCAACCGACGCAGUUUGACGCGGACUUGUGUUCAUGAAGUUGCGGUCCCGGCUGGGUACACUUCUACCAAGGACGAGUCGCUUCAUGGAACCCUAUCGAAUCCGGUUUUCAAUGGUACAAUGGCGAAAACGUACCCGUUUACACUCGACCCGUUUCAGCAGGUAUCGGUUUCUUGCUUAGAACGGAAUGAAUCUAUUUUGGUUUCUGCUCAUACUUCAGCUGGAAAAACUGCGGUUGCUGAAUAUGCCAUUGCUAUGGCUUUUAGAGAUAAGCAGAGGGUUAUAUAUACUUCUCCACUCAAGGCUUUGAGUAAUCAGAAGUAUAGGGAAUUGAGUCAAGAGUUUAAAGACGUGGGACUGAUGACUGGGGAUGUGACUCUUUCGCCUAAUGCUAGUUGUUUAGUUAUGACGACGGAGAUACUUAGGGGGAUGCUUUACAGGGGUUCGGAAGUUUUGAAGGAAGUAGCAUGGGUAAUUUUUGAUGAAAUUCACUAUAUGAGAGAUCGGGAAAGAGGUGUUGUUUGGGAAGAGAGUAUAAUAUUUUUACCACCGGCUAUCAAAAUGGUCUUCCUUUCUGCAACAAUGUCCAAUGCCACGGAGUUUGCUGAGUGGAUAUGUAAUAUACACAAGCAGCCUUGUCAUGUGGUGUACACUGAUUUUCGACCAACUCCCUUGCAACAUUAUGUUUUUCCCGUGGGUGGCAAUGGGUUGUAUCUCGUGGUUGAUGAAGACGAACAGUUCAGGGAGGAUAAUUUUAUGAAGCUGCUGGACACAUUUGCUAAACAAAAACAGAUUGCUGGCCACAGGACUUUAAAUGGGAAAUCUAGUGGGAGAAUAGCUAAAGGUGGCAGUGGUUCCGGAGGUUCGGACAUUUAUAAAAUUGUUAAGAUGAUUAUGGAACGGAAUUUCCAACCAGUUAUUGUCUUCAGUUUCAGUAGAAGAGAAUGUGAACAACAUGCAAUGUCCAUGUCCAAACUUGACUUUAACACUGAUGAAGAAAAGGACACGGUGGAACAUGUUUUCAGAAAUGCGAUUCUCUGCUUGAAUGAGGAAGACAGAGAGCUACCUGCAAUUGAGCUAAUGUUACCUCUUCUCCAGAGAGGAAUUGCUGUUCAUCAUUCUGGGCUUCUUCCUGUAAUUAAAGAAUUAGUAGAGCUCCUUUUCCAGGAAGGUCUUGUUAAGGCCCUUUUUGCCACAGAAACUUUUGCCAUGGGUUUGAACAUGCCAGCAAAAACAGUUGUCUUCACUGCCUUUAAAAAGUGGGAUGGUGAUAGUCACCGAUUUAUUGGAUCUGGUGAGUACAUUCAGAUGAGUGGAAGGGCUGGACGUCGUGGAAAAGAUGACAGGGGUAUAUGCAUUAUAAUGAUUGAUGAGCAGGUGGAGAUGGGAACAAUUAAAGAUAUGAUUUUGGGCAAACCCGCUCCUCUUGUUAGUACUUUUAGACUGAGCUACUACUCAAUUUUAAAUUUAAUGAGCCGGGCUGAAGGCCAAUUUACAGCUGAGCAUGUUAUUAGACACUCAUUUCAUCAGUUUCAGCACGAGAAGGCAUUGCCUGAUAUUGGGAAAAGAGUGUCGAAGUUAGAGGAGGAAGCUGCCACACUUGAUGCUUCAGGAGAGGCUGAAGUUGCUGAAUACCACAAGUUAAAGCUUGAUAUAGCACAACUUGAGAAGAAGAUGAUGUCUGAAAUAACAAGGCCGGAAAGAGUUCUCUAUUUUCUUCUUCCUGGUCGGUUGGUUAAGGUAAGAGAAGGGGGGACAGACUGGGGUUGGGGAGUUGUAGUUAACGUUGUUAAAAAGCCCUCAGCUGGGUUAGGCAUCUUGCCUUCACGUGGUGGUGCUUAUAUAGUGGAUACCUUACUCCAAUGCUCUCCUUGUCUAAGCGAGAAUAGUUCACGACCAAAACCUUGUCCACCCCGUCCUGGAGAAAAGGGUGAAAUGCACGUGGUUCCAGUUCAGCUGCCUCUUAUUUCAGCCUUGAGCAAACUCAGAAUCUCUAUUCCUUCUGAUCUCAGACCCGUGGAAGCAAGGGAAAGCAUACUGCUUGCAUUGGAAGAACUGGGAACUCGUUUUCCACAGGGUUUUCCAAAAUUGAAUCCAGUUAAGGACAUGAGUAUUGAAGAUCCAGAAAUUGUUGAGUUGGUGAAGCAGAUUGAGGAACUUGAGCGGAAAUUAUAUGCUCAUCCUCUGCAUAAGUCACAUGAAGUGGACCAGAUUAAAUGUUUUCAGAGGAAAGCGGAGGUUAAUCAUGAAAUUCAAAUAUUAAAGACCAAAAUGCGCGAUUCCCAGCUUCAAAAAUUUCGUGAUGAACUGAAGAACCGUUCUCGGGUCCUGAAAAAGCUUGGUCACAUUGAUGCAGAUGGUGUAGUUCAGUUGAAGGGGCGUGCAGCCUGCUUGAUUGACACAGGGGAUGAGCUCCUUGUUACUGAAUUAAUGUUUAAUGGAACAUUCAAUGACCUAGAUCAUCACCAGAUUGCAUCCCUUGCAAGUUGUUUUAUACCAGGAGACAAGUCCAAUGAGCAGAUUCAGUUAAGAACCGAGCUUGCUAGACCAUUACAGCAACUCCAAGAUAGUGCGAGAAGAAUAGCUGAGAUACAACAUGAAUGCAAAUUGGAGAUAAAUGUGGAAGAAUAUGUGGAAUCAACUGUAAGGCCGUAUUUGAUGGAUGUCAUUUACUGUUGGUCAAAGGGAGCGAGUUUUUCAGAGGUGAUUCAAAUGACAGAUGUUUUCGAGGGUAGUAUCAUUCGAAGUGCUAGAAGGCUUGAUGAAUUCUUGAAUCAGUUGCGUGCUGCUGCCAAUGCUGUGGGGGAGGUAACCUUAGAGAGUAAGUUUUCUGCGGCCAGUGACAGCCUCCGCAGAGGUAUAAUGUUUGCAAACUCACUCUAUCUGUAGAUUGCCCUCUGCUUUGGUUGCAUCUUUAGGGGUUUAUGAAGCUCUGGGGUUGUGGAUUUCAUCAACCAUCUGUCAUUGAGGAUCCCUCCUUUCCCACUUGCAAUUACUUGCUCCGAGUAUACAACUUUGUGCAGUAUGACAAAGAUAAAUAGUGCACGACUUGACUAGUCGACACACAACUUUCUCGAGCGAAUUACAUAUGAUUUUUGUGAUGCUCCUUUUGAGUGUGUUCUUAUGUUGUUUUGGGGCCCUUUUUAUGCAUUCGUGAGUAUUUGACAGAAGAUGCACCUCCUUGCCCUUUUUUUGUGUACUCCUUUUUUAUACUGAAAUCUUUGUAACUCGAAAAAAUAUAUCAGUAGGCCACAUGUUUAUUAACAAAACUGACUAUCUAUCUAUCUAUCUGUU